GUUGCAGUCCUCUAGAGCUGCGGGGAAGAAGAAGAAGAAGAUGUGACUCAUAUAUUGCUUCUCUCUGGUGGUGAAGACUCUUCCCUGGAAUCAAAGAUAUGCCUAUCCCUGCAUCAUAUAAAGUGUGGCCUGCAGGUUGGUCCGCUGCGGGUGCUUGUGGCUCUGGUCGGUUCGUCCUGCUGCAUCUGCGGUCGCCAAUAUGCAGUUGGAUCGGUGGGUGGCGACAUGUUCGCUGUUUGGUCGAGUCGUCCACGGCGUUGUUGCUGCCGUCCAGGAUGAGCUGCUCAGCCUGCUACUCCACGAGACUCCCUAGCAACAGCUGAAGAGAGGUUCCAUGGGAACAAGCACACAUGGUUGUUCGCCGUUAGCAUCGUCCCUUAACUGCGACCCUUUAGACCCUUUGCUGAUCCAGCUCCCAGAAGGUCAGUGCCUGG
Triticum aestivum (bread wheat) is the source of this 434-nucleotide long non-coding RNA. RefSeq lists it as uncharacterized. Lineage: Eukaryota; Viridiplantae; Streptophyta; Magnoliopsida; Poales; Poaceae. The transcript is spliced from 3 exons. The record is from RefSeq and is a predicted model, not a curated record.